This 349-nucleotide ribosomal RNA is filed under the name Coscineuta sp. n. FP-2010. RNAcentral describes it as "Coscineuta n. sp. FP-2010 partial 12S ribosomal RNA". Lineage: Eukaryota; Metazoa; Arthropoda; Insecta; Orthoptera; Acrididae. The record is from RNAcentral.
AAGUGUUAAUUUUAUAUACCGGGGUAAUAUUAGUUAUGUUCUUCAAACCCAAAGAAUUUGGCGGUACUUUAUUCCAUUCAGAGGAACCUACCCCAUAAUUGAUAAUACACGAUUAACUCUACUUAAUUAAUUUGUUUGUAUAUCUCCGUUAUCAGAAGAUCUUUUUAGAGUUAUAAUUUUCCUAAUUUAUAAUUAUAAAUUAUUUCAGGUCAAGGUGCAGUUUAUAGUUAAGAGGAGGUGGGUUACAAUAAAUUAUAUUUAUAACGAAUUUAAUAAUAAAUAAUUAUUAAUGAAGGUGGAUUUGAUAGUAAUUUUAUUUAUUUAAUUUAAUUGAUUUUGGUUCUAAGGU